Molecule: transfer RNA, 69 nt
Filed under: Amyrsidea minuta
Lineage: Eukaryota; Metazoa; Arthropoda; Insecta; Psocodea; Menoponidae
Description: tRNA-Asn
Source: RNAcentral
UUAAUUAAAGCCAAAGAGAGAGGCAUAUCGCUGUUAACGAUAUUAAUAAACUAUAAAGUUUUAAUUAAA